GAAUCCUCAAGAAAAAUCAAAUAUACAUGAAGCAACUGUAUCGGGUACCAUUUGACAGAAAUUCAGAGAGUGAAACAUCUGCGCAAUGAGUAUGUGGAGAGAGUCCAGCAUAAAUUCAACAUGAAUUUAUAUAUGUGGAUGAGGCUGGAUUUAACCUUGCGAAAACAAGAAGAGGGAGAAAUGUAAUUGGACACAGGGCAAUCACCAAUGUGCCAGGGCAGCGAGGGGGUAACAUCACCCUUUACACUGCUAUUACACAAAAUGGGGUCCUCCACCACUAUGCAAAUGUGGGACCCUAUAAUGCAAAUCUAAUACUUGCAUUUCUUGACAGAUUGCACGAGAUUGUCACAGCAUUAAACCAAGUGGACCAGAUGCGGUACAUUGUCGUUCGGGACAAUGUCUCAUUCCACCGGGCUGCUCUGGUCCAGAAUUGGUUCCAUGAGCACCCUGAAUUUGAAGUCUUAUACCUUCCCCCUUCCUCAAUCCAAUAGUUUUUUUU
This is a long non-coding RNA of Micropterus salmoides (largemouth bass), 499 nucleotides long. RefSeq lists it as uncharacterized. The record is from RefSeq and is a predicted model, not a curated record. NCBI's taxonomy places the organism in Eukaryota, Metazoa, Chordata, Actinopteri, Centrarchiformes, Centrarchidae. The transcript has 2 exons.